Molecule: long non-coding RNA, 384 nt
Filed under: Elaeis guineensis (African oil palm)
Lineage: Eukaryota; Viridiplantae; Streptophyta; Magnoliopsida; Arecales; Arecaceae
Description: long non-coding RNA (EGUI_LNC061082)
Source: RNAcentral
AUGUUGGUGAUUAGAUCCUCAUCAUUCUCAUCAAGUUCAACAAGAUCAUCAUCUCGGAUCAAGAAAUCAUAGUAUCUGCCCAACUGACAUGGUACUCUAUCGGAUCUUCUUAAAGGUGCCUCAAUAAUGGGUUCUGGAUUUAAUCUAAUCAAAUCCAAUUCUAUAUUUUCACUGGUCUGUGUCGAUUCUUCUACCUAUUGAACUUCAUCAAGUUCAACCUUAGAGUCAUUAGUUCUUUUACCAAGAAAUUUUUUUUUUAAAAAGACUGCUUUAUUGCUGAUGAACAUCUUUUAUUCUUAAGCAAGAUAGAAGUAGUAUGCCCUUGAUUCCUUGGUGUACCCUAUAAACAAGUACUUAUCGGAUCGAGAUCCAAGUUUAUCGAUC